CAGCCGCCACGGUAAAACGGAGGGGGCUAGCGUUGUUCGGAAUUACUGGGCGUAAAGCGCACGUAGGCGGCUUGGUAAGUUAGAGGUGAAAGCCUGGAGCUCAACUCCAGAAUUGCCUUUAAGACUGCCGAGCUAGCAGGUGAGAGUGGUAAGUGGAAUUCCGAGUGUAGAGGUGAAAUUCGUAGAUAUUCGGAAGAACACCAGUGGCGAAGGCGGCUUACUGGCUCAUACUGGACGCUGAGGUGCGAAAGCGUGGGGAGCAAACAGGAUUAGAGACCCGUGUAGUCCCUGUCUCUUAUAA
RNAcentral lists this ribosomal RNA (301 nucleotides) under uncultured bacterium. Its description in RNAcentral is "partial 16S ribosomal RNA". It matches the Rfam family "Bacterial small subunit ribosomal RNA", at positions 509 to 809 of the family's 1533-position model. The record is from RNAcentral.